CGGGUGAGUAACGCGUGGGCAACCUGCCUUACACAGGGGGAUAACACUUAGAAAUAGGUGCUAAUACCGCAUAAGCGCACAGCUUUGCAUGAAGCAGUGUGAAAAACUCCGGUGGUGUAAGAUGGACCCGCGUCUGAUUAGCUGGUUGGCAGGGUAAAGGCCUACCAAGGCGACGAUCAGUAGCCGGCCUGAGAGGGUGAACGGCCACAUUGGGACUGAGACACGGCCCAGACUCCUACGGAAGGCAGCAG
This 251-nucleotide ribosomal RNA is filed under the name uncultured bacterium. RNAcentral describes it as "partial 16S ribosomal RNA". It matches the Rfam family "Bacterial small subunit ribosomal RNA", at positions 103 to 354 of the family's 1533-position model. The record is from RNAcentral.